ACUAUUUUGGCAGACAAGUGCGGUGGAUUUAGAAUCUAUGAAUGUUGAGUCUUAUCUCUAACAAAUAGUA
RNAcentral lists this transfer RNA (70 nucleotides) under Paraneotermes simplicicornis. RNAcentral's name for it is "tRNA-Leu". The record is from RNAcentral. Lineage: Eukaryota; Metazoa; Arthropoda; Insecta; Blattodea; Kalotermitidae.